UGAAUAAACUCUCAGCUGAAACAGGAAGCCCUGGGACUAGAUCUUUCACCUUCCUUUGAUUGUCAUUUUCCAAUUGUUUUCAUUUUUCAGUGACGCCAGCCCACUUGUUCAUUGAUGUUCCAUUUUGGCCUUGACUGUGCCAGAUCCACCCAGAGAAGUCAGAAGCCAAGAAUAAAUUGGGCCUAAAUUAAGAGUGGGCUUUCCCUGAGGCGUCCUUAUACGUAAGGUCCUGAGCAAAUUAACGCUGGAAACAGAAGCUUGCAGAGCUGGGAAUAACAAUACCUGUUAUGACCUGAAUUAAAUCAACCUCCUCGGAAGUCUCGCUUCUCCUGGGUUGGUGCUACUUCGUGAUGCUGAAGGCAGAUCUGCCUUUGAGCCACGGUACCUUCUACGAUGUUCUCCACACUGUACCUUGUGCUUGAGAAGACCUUCUUGAAGAGACCCUUACGAGCAUGGAUUUCAGGGGAGUU
Molecule: long non-coding RNA, 470 nt
Filed under: Calidris pugnax (ruff)
Lineage: Eukaryota; Metazoa; Chordata; Aves; Charadriiformes; Scolopacidae
Description: lncRNA (ENSCPUG00000000014.1)
Source: RNAcentral